GAUGAACGCUGGCGGUAUGCUUAACACAUGCAAGUCGAACGAAGUCUUAGGACUUAGUGGCGGACGGGUGAGUAACGCGUGAGAAUCUGGCUUCAGGUCGGGGAUAGCCACUGGAAACGGUGGAUAAUACCGGAUGUGCCGAAAGGUGAAAGAUUAAUUGCCUGAAGAUGAGCUCGCGUCUGAUUAGCUAGUUGGUGGGGUAAGAGCUUACCAAGGCGACGAUCAGUAGCUGGUCUGAGAGGAUGAUCAGCCACACUGGGACUGAGACACGGCCCAGACUCCUACGGGAGGCAGCAGUGGGGAAUUUUCCGCAAUGGGCGAAAGCCUGACGGAGCAAUACCGCGUGAGGGAGAAAGGCUCUUGGGUUGUAAACCUCUUUUCUCAAGGAAUAAAAAAAUGAAAGUACUUGAGGAAUAAGCAUCGGCUAACUCCGUGCCAGCAGCCGCGGUAAUACGGAGGAUGCAAGCGUUAUCCGGAAUGAUUGGGCGUAAAGCGUCCGC
This 500-nucleotide ribosomal RNA is filed under the name uncultured bacterium. RNAcentral describes it as "bacterial SSU rRNA". It matches the Rfam family "Bacterial small subunit ribosomal RNA", at positions 28 to 572 of the family's 1533-position model. The record is from RNAcentral.